RNAcentral lists this ribosomal RNA (563 nucleotides) under Microkayla adenopleura. RNAcentral describes it as "partial 16S ribosomal RNA". It matches the Rfam family "Bacterial large subunit ribosomal RNA", at positions 1831 to 2597 of the family's 2925-position model. Lineage: Eukaryota; Metazoa; Chordata; Amphibia; Anura; Craugastoridae. The record is from RNAcentral.
CGCCUCCUGAAAAAUAUAAGAGGUCCAGCCUGCCCGGUGACUUGUUUAACGGCCGCGGUAUCCUAACCGUGCGAAGGUAGCGUAAUCACUUGUCUUUUAAAUAAAGACUAGUAUGAAAGGCAUCACGAGGGUCAAACUGUCUCCUUUUUCUAAUCAGUAAAACUAAUCUUCCCGUGAAGAAGCGGGAAUUUCUCUAUAAGACGAGAAGACCCUAUGGAGCUUUAAACUGUAAGUUAUUCGCCCCUCCCUACCCCAAUUUCAGAAAUUUUACACUUUGGGCUCACUAACUGCACGUUUUAGGUUGGGGUGACCUAGGAGCAAAACAAACCCUCCUAGAUGACACGGGCUAAGCCCUGAGAAAAAAGUCACAACUUUAACCACCAAUAAAUUGACAUCAAUUGACCCAGUCCGCUGAGCAACGAACCAAGUUACCCUAGGGAUAACAGCGCAAUCUACUUCAAGAGUCCCUAUCGACAAGUGGGUUUACGACCUCGAUGUUGGAUCAGGGUGUCCGAGUGGUGCAGCCGCUACUAAAGGUUCGUUUGUUCAACGAUUAAAACCCU